Gallus gallus (chicken) is the source of this 348-nucleotide long non-coding RNA. NCBI's taxonomy places the organism in Eukaryota, Metazoa, Chordata, Aves, Galliformes, Phasianidae. The record is from Ensembl.
AGCUCCUUCCUUUGUGGGGUUUCUCUGUAAGCCUGCAUCUUCAGUGACAGAGCUGUGAUCAGCGCUUGAUGCAGCAACCAUACAGAAGGAGAAAGCCCAAGGCUUUGACCCAGCUCCUCCUCCAUUAAGGAGGCUGCUGCUUUACCUGGAGCAGCAGUAAUAGGGAUUAGGUACCACUUGGGCCAAAAGGACAGCAGUCAUAAAUGAAUCAAAAGACACCACGAAAUCUCAUGCACAGUUGCCAAGAGCUCUGAGACCGAAGCAAGCAGUGGCUGUGUCCCCAGGCUGGGGUGACACCAGGGCUGUGCCUUGGCUGCGCCCACCUGCACAAUGGGUGCUGUGCAGCAG